GAGGGUUUCCCUGGAGCCCAGGCUCAUUCGGAGUCGGCUGAGGAAGCCGAACCCCAGAGCAAAAGACACCACGAAGAGAAGAGGGUAUCUCUGAAAACAGAAGGGUUGGUGCAGACCGAUGUGCUUGUCAACAUGGCAACCCGGACACACCUGAGAACACCUGCUCCACCACCCAGAUGGCCAUUAUGGGGCAAAUGUCACGCUCUUUCCAUUGUUAUUCUCUUCUCAUUUCUUCAGAGUUGUACAGAGGUCAAGUCCCAUCAAGGGGGUUCCCAACGAUCCCCAUCUCCAUCUUAUCUUAGGAUGAAGCUUGAAAAACGCUUUAGCACUGAAGCCCACCCCUUGGAAAGGCCUCUGCCUGGACAAAGAAAGGGCUGCCUCAAUUGCAUAAGUUUGAGUGUUUUUGGAAAAUAUUCCUGCUCCCAAAUAGAUCUCCUAUAUUGACAUGUCACACUGGCUGAAAUUCCACCAAUAGAGCUCUCCUUUUGAUGUAAAAAAGUCUUGAAUUUUUGUCAACCUUAAUUUUUUUCUCACAUAAAGAUGUUUUCCCAAGACUUUUGCAACCUACCAUUUGUCUACUGAGAGUCUGACCCAUAAAAGACCCCCCCAAAAUAUAGUAUCUAUUUACUAUCUGAUGAAUGAUCAAAGUAAAUAAACAAAUAAACGAGUAGCAGCCUAAAAUUAGAGAGCUCAAAGAAAGCCAUCCUUCAUCUAGAACUCUCUGUUUUGUUUUAAUGGAGUUGAACAGAUAGCGUAAUUGCAUGAACUUGUUCUUUGAGGGGGUGGAUAUAUAUAAGUUUUGUGAUGUUACAAACAGUAUUAUAAUUAAAGGUGCUUCUGCAUCUGAAAAAUUUUAAAACCACUGGAUUCAGGUGAUUGGUUCUGAUAGCACUUGUUCAUACAAUAGAAUAAACUAAAGAAUAAACUUUUGUCAAGGUAUCUUUCUUCAAACACCUUUCUGGGUGUCUCGGCAUCAGCAAGGAAUCAUAUUGAAAAGACUCAGCACAGAGCCUAGCAUACAGUAAUCCCAGAAUGUAGUGCAGUGGUAUUAUUCAUACUUGGGGACUUGAACUUGGAGACUUAACAUUUAUUUGGUCUAGAGUAUUUUAAAAUCACCCAUUCUGUCUCUUAAAGAGCAAGAACCGUGAUGGAGAGGUAGCAAAUACCUUCACCUGGGGUUCUCUGCAGCUGGAAGGCACAGAGCACAUAGCAAGCCAUCAAGAGGAAGAGCUCCAACCAGAAACUUCUCCCACACCUCGGGCUCACCAAGGAGAGUCUACAGAUCAUGCAAUGCAAAGAGCAGGAGGGAGGAAGCAACGGUCAAGAUGUCAUCUUGUCAUCUUCGCCUGGACUUCCCACUACAACUUUCUCUGUUCUGAAUCUAUGCCAAGCAAACAACAUAGUACCCGGGACAUGGAAUUCUGGAGAUCGACUAUCCACUAGAGGUAUAGUAGCUCCAUGAAGCCUCCAAGGAUCCAGGAGCCUUCCGUCUUUUUGAUCAGCCGUAUUAACAUGUAGCUUUUUGGGUCUGGUCAAGGACAUUGCGCAGGGACAAGGCUGAGGCAAGGCUACAAACCUGGACUUCACUCUGCGAUGGAAAUGAAGCUUCUCAAGAUCUCUGUGUAGAGGAGGGCAGCUUGAUUGCUAGUGAGAUGACCUCAUGCUACUUUUAUGAAAGAGAAAAGAAAAAUCAAGGUCGAUGGAGAGAAGAGAGAGAGAAGGCAGAUGGAACUCUUUUCCAGAGAAAAUGCUAACGCUCAAGGAUUGCCAGAGGUGGCCAUGAACUUGCUGUCCAGUGUGGUUCAGAGGAAAACACAAAAGCAUAAGAGCAGGUCUGGAGGAGAACACAGAACUGACAGAGAGGCUACCUCUGUAGAGGGGAUGGAAUUAGGGCCAUGGAGGGGGUGGUAAAGGUGGUCAGGGAGAAGUUAGACUUACUUGUAGUGCAUUAAAUUUCAGGAUGGGUAUAUAUUCAUGCGAUGCUUAUAUAAUUAAAAUUAAUGUUUAAUAGAGAAAAGACGUGAGAUUUGGAGUUGUAAGUUCUGGACUUAAGACUUGCCUUUUCUAUUUGGAGACAUUCAGACAUCAUUUAUAGAGCAACUAUUAUAUGCCAAAGAGUAUGCCAGGCACCAACGGUACAAAUAAAAAUGUCCUAAAAUUUACGAUCAUAA
Molecule: long non-coding RNA, 2171 nt
Organism: Pteropus alecto (black flying fox)
Lineage: Eukaryota; Metazoa; Chordata; Mammalia; Chiroptera; Pteropodidae
Exons: 4
Source: RefSeq, a predicted model, not a curated record